GUCCAUCUGACGAGUUCCAAGUGUGACGAAACGCGCGUCCUGCAU
Molecule: non-coding RNA, 45 nt
Filed under: Schistosoma margrebowiei
Lineage: Eukaryota; Metazoa; Platyhelminthes; Trematoda; Strigeidida; Schistosomatidae
Source: RNAcentral